GCUUAACCGAAGAAGUGCAUCGGAAACUGGGGAACUUGAGUGCAGAAGAGGACAGUGGAACUCCAUGUGUAGCGGUGGAAUGCGUAGAUAUAUGGAAGAACACCAGUGGCGAAGGCGGCUGUCUAGUCUGUAACUGACGCUGAGGCUCGAAAGCAUGGGUAGCGAACAGGAUUAGAUACCCUGGUAGUCCAUGCCGUAAACGAUGAGUGCUAGGUGUUGGAGGGUUUCCGCCCUUCAGUGCCGCAGCUAACGCAUUAAGCACUCCGCCUGGGGAGUACGACCGCAAGGUUGAAACUCAAAGGAAUUGACGGGGGCCCGCGCAAGCGGUGGAGCAUGUGGUUUAAUUCGAAGCUACGCGAAGAACCUUACCAGGUCUUGACAUCUUCUGCCAAUCUUAGAGAUAAGACGUUCCCUUCGGGGACAGAAUGACAGGUGGUGCAUGGUUGUCGUCAGCUCGUGUCGUGAGAUGUUGGGUUAAGUCCCGCAACGAGCGCAACCCUUAUUAUCAGUUGCCAGCAUUCAGUUGGGCACUCUGGUGAGACUGCCGGUGACAAACCGGAGGAAGGUGGGGAUGACGUCAAAUCAUCAUGCCCCUUAUGACCUGGGCUACACACGUGCUACAAUGGACGGUACAACG
RNAcentral lists this ribosomal RNA (637 nucleotides) under uncultured bacterium. RNAcentral describes it as "bacterial SSU rRNA". It matches the Rfam family "Bacterial small subunit ribosomal RNA", at positions 607 to 1244 of the family's 1533-position model. The record is from RNAcentral.